CACGUUAGCCGGGGUUUGGACUUAUGCAUAUACCGCAACAACGUUGAGAAAAAGCCACGUACCGCGUGAUAACACUAAUGCCACAUUUGUAAUGCAGCGGCACAGCCUCUUCUACAUGACGUUCAAGUUUAAAUGUGGCGUGUCAAGACUAAAAUGAAGGAUCUAAGCAGCUAACCACUCACACAGUGCUAAUGUUAGCAGACGUUAGCUUAGCAUGGGAUUUGCUUGCUGUGCUAUUUGACGUUUGAGUUUUAGGAGGCCAUGUUAAUCUCGGGGCGCCAGAUAAAUGAAUUUAACUAGCUAUCUAACACUGGCCAACUACGUUUCGUGGUAUUCAUAACGAAACGGCAAUAAAAGUCAACACGACCAAAGCUUCUGUUAAAAUCUCUUGAGCUCGACGUGAAACUGCGCUAGCAAGCUGAGCUCUCGAGUGAGGUAAGAUUAUCCGGCCAAUUUACUUUACUGUGUAGUUAAAGCUCUGAUGCUAACGCUAGCUAGCCAAUUUGGUGGGGGGGUAUCACCGCGUCAGCUUGCUAGUCAACUUCCCAUAAUACACAGUUAGUUAUUAAACUAAUACGUAAACGUGUGAAUAGUAUCGUAAGUAUCACUGCAGUCUUGUCGUAAUUACAACAAUGCAUCGUUACCUCUAAGUGUUUUCACAGUUUUUGCAAAGUUACAAUCUUACCUGUAGCAGCCAUCUUGAUUUCUCUCAAUCUGAAGUCGGAUCUACCAAGAAGUUCAGGGAGAGCGGAAACCUCUAGAACGCUCGCGUCGAUUGGCUUAUUCUUGUAGUUGUGUGUUUUCAUUGGCCAACGGCAGAUGCGUUCAAGGGGCGGGACCUGAGUCCACCGUUCUGUCGCGAGCCCUCCGCUAACAGAAGCAGGGCACACACUAUUCUGUCAUAUCUCGGAAUUUCAACUCUUGGUUGUCAAUGGGCACCGAGCCAGCACAGGCUCCUGUUACACACUGAGGAACCUCCUCUUCUUGGCCGUGUGUGUAUAUGCGUGGUGACGCCACUCAACAUCUGCGGUGGUCUCAUUUUCCAGGGUGCCGAGUUUGAUCAUGUACACUAAACAAAAGGGUAGCAUGCCAAAGUUAAACAGCAGAUUCUUAUGUUAUAAUAUUCCUAUGCUGUCAAACAAUAUUACCAGGAUUUCUGUUAAAGAUCUUUGUCACAUAAUUGAUUUAAAAGGUAGCUUCAGCUUUAUCAGUGUGUCACAGUGAUGUUUGACAGCCUGUGUAUUAUACACCAUUAACCUCUGCACAGUGUACAGACAUCAUCAUUACUGUUACUUCAAUGCAACAUGAAUGCCUGCAUGCCAUGUCACUUACCCGGGUCAAUCAAAUAUGUGCACAAAUUUGUGCACUUUUUUUUGGAAGCAAAUUGCUGGAGAGAAAUGCUUUUCCUAGCAUCAUCAACAGCUUAAACAACACUGCUCUGAACUAUAGUGUUCUUUUGACAUAUUGCUUGCUAGUGCACACUUUUCUGAUCACGAUCUAUUCCAAGACCAUCUUUCCCUGUGUCCUGCCAUGUUUUAAGCUAACCCUGGAUCUAGAGACUGGUCUGAACAGAUCUUUCUUCUACUUUCUACUGGAUCAGUCUAAAAGAAAAAAAUAAAUAAAAGAUCAUUUUACAUACAUUUCAUUUCAAACCUGGGUCCUACUUCUGUCAGCUCUAUGUUCUUGUGGUCUGUUUUCUUGUAGUUGUGAUGUCUGUAAUAGGAAAAAGUAUUACUGUUUGGUUCCCAAACCCAG
This is a long non-coding RNA of Betta splendens (Siamese fighting fish), 1755 nucleotides long. RefSeq lists it as uncharacterized. The record is from RefSeq and is a predicted model, not a curated record. NCBI's taxonomy places the organism in Eukaryota, Metazoa, Chordata, Actinopteri, Anabantiformes, Osphronemidae. The transcript is spliced from 2 exons.